This 2787-nucleotide ribosomal RNA is filed under the name Escherichia coli. RNAcentral's name for it is "bacterial LSU rRNA". It matches the Rfam family "Bacterial large subunit ribosomal RNA". Lineage: Bacteria; Pseudomonadati; Pseudomonadota; Gammaproteobacteria; Enterobacterales; Enterobacteriaceae. The record is from RNAcentral.
AGCGUACACGGUGGAUGCCCUGGCAGUCAGAGGCGAUGAAGGACGUGCUAAUCUGCGAUAAGCGUCGGUAAGGUGAUAUGAACCGUUAUAACCGGCGAUUUCCGAAUGGGGAAACCCAGUGUGAUUCGUCACACUAUCAUUAACUGAAUCCAUAGGUUAAUGAGGCGAACCGGGGGAACUGAAACAUCUAAGUACCCCGAGGAAAAGAAAUCAACCGAGAUUCCCCCAGUAGCGGCGAGCGAACGGGGAGCAGCCCAGAGCCUGAAUCAGUGUGUGUGUUAGUGGAAGCGUCUGGAAAGGCGCGCGAUACAGGGUGACAGCCCCGUACACAAAAAUGCACAUGCUGUGAGCUCGAUGAGUAGGGCGGGACACGUGGUAUCCUGUCUGAAUAUGGGGGGACCAUCCUCCAAGGCUAAAUACUCCUGACUGACCGAUAGUGAACCAGUACCGUGAGGGAAAGGCGAAAAGAACCCCGGCGAGGGGAGUGAAAAAGAACCUGAAACCGUGUACGUACAAGCAGUGGGAGCACGCUUAGGCGUGUGACUGCGUACCUUUUGUAUAAUGGGUCAGCGACUUAUAUUCUGUAGCAAGGUUAACCGAAUAGGGGAGCCGAAGGGAAACCGAGUCUUAACUGGGCGUUAAGUUGCAGGGUAUAGACCCGAAACCCGGUGAUCUAGCCAUGGGCAGGUUGAAGGUUGGGUAACACUAACUGGAGGACCGAACCGACUAAUGUUGAAAAAUUAGCGGAUGACUUGUGGCUGGGGGUGAAAGGCCAAUCAAACCGGGAGAUAGCUGGUUCUCCCCGAAAGCUAUUUAGGUAGCGCCUCGUGAAUUCAUCUCCGGGGGUAGAGCACUGUUUCGGCAAGGGGGUCAUCCCGACUUACCAACCCGAUGCAAACUGCGAAUACCGGAGAAUGUUAUCACGGGAGACACACGGCGGGUGCUAACGUCCGUCGUGAAGAGGGAAACAACCCAGACCGCCAGCUAAGGUCCCAAAGUCAUGGUUAAGUGGGAAACGAUGUGGGAAGGCCCAGACAGCCAGGAUGUUGGCUUAGAAGCAGCCAUCAUUUAAAGAAAGCGUAAUAGCUCACUGGUCGAGUCGGCCUGCGCGGAAGAUGUAACGGGGCUAAACCAUGCACCGAAGCUGCGGCAGCGACGCUUAUGCGUUGUUGGGUAGGGGAGCGUUCUGUAAGCCUGUGAAGGUGUGCUGUGAGGCAUGCUGGAGGUAUCAGAAGUGCGAAUGCUGACAUAAGUAACGAUAAAGCGGGUGAAAAGCCCGCUCGCCGGAAGACCAAGGGUUCCUGUCCAACGUUAAUCGGGGCAGGGUGAGUCGACCCCUAAGGCGAGGCCGAAAGGCGUAGUCGAUGGGAAACAGGUUAAUAUUCCUGUACUUGGUGUUACUGCGAAGGGGGGACGGAGAAGGCUAUGUUGGCCGGGCGACGGUUGUCCCGGUUUAAGCGUGUAGGCUGGUUUUCCAGGCAAAUCCGGAAAAUCAAGGCUGAGGCGUGAUGACGAGGCACUACGGUGCUGAAGCAACAAAUGCCCUGCUUCCAGGAAAAGCCUCUAAGCAUCAGGUAACAUCAAAUCGUACCCCAAACCGACACAGGUGGUCAGGUAGAGAAUACCAAGGCGCUUGAGAGAACUCGGGUGAAGGAACUAGGCAAAAUGGUGCCGUAACUUCGGGAGAAGGCACGCUGAUAUGUAGGUGAAGUCCCUCGCGGAUGGAGCUGAAAUCAGUCGAAGAUACCAGCUGGCUGCAACUGUUUAUUAAAAACACAGCACUGUGCAAACACGAAAGUGGACGUAUACGGUGUGACGCCUGCCCGGUGCCGGAAGGUUAAUUGAUGGGGUUAGCGCAAGCGAAGCUCUUGAUCGAAGCCCCGGUAAACGGCGGCCGUAACUAUAACGGUCCUAAGGUAGCGAAAUUCCUUGUCGGGUAAGUUCCGACCUGCACGAAUGGCGUAAUGAUGGCCAGGCUGUCUCCACCCGAGACUCAGUGAAAUUGAACUCGCUGUGAAGAUGCAGUGUACCCGCGGCAAGACGGAAAGACCCCGUGAACCUUUACUAUAGCUUGACACUGAACAUUGAGCCUUGAUGUGUAGGAUAGGUGGGAGGCUUUGAAGUGUGGACGCCAGUCUGCAUGGAGCCGACCUUGAAAUACCACCCUUUAAUGUUUGAUGUUCUAACGUUGACCCGUAAUCCGGGUUGCGGACAGUGUCUGGUGGGUAGUUUGACUGGGGCGGUCUCCUCCUAAAGAGUAACGGAGGAGCACGAAGGUUGGCUAAUCCUGGUCGGACAUCAGGAGGUUAGUGCAAUGGCAUAAGCCAGCUUGACUGCGAGCGUGACGGCGCGAGCAGGUGCGAAAGCAGGUCAUAGUGAUCCGGUGGUUCUGAAUGGAAGGGCCAUCGCUCAACGGAUAAAAGGUACUCCGGGGAUAACAGGCUGAUACCGCCCAAGAGUUCAUAUCGACGGCGGUGUUUGGCACCUCGAUGUCGGCUCAUCACAUCCUGGGGCUGAAGUAGGUCCCAAGGGUAUGGCUGUUCGCCAUUUAAAGUGGUACGCGAGCUGGGUUUAGAACGUCGUGAGACAGUUCGGUCCCUAUCUGCCGUGGGCGCUGGAGAAUUGAGGGGGGCUGCUCCUAGUACGAGAGGACCGGAGUGGACGCAUCACUGGUGUUCGGGUUGUCAUGCCAAUGGCACUGCCCGGUAGCUAAAUGCGGAAGAGAUAAGUGCUGAAAGCAUCUAAGCACGAAACUUGCCCCGAGAUGAGUUCUCCCUGACUCCUUGA